CUUAACUUUUGGCUGAGACUCCCAGGAUUGUGUGUCUUGACUUGAAAUUACUUUAGAUCUGUACUGCUCUAUAUGGUAAAGACUACUAUAUGGGGCUACUGAGCACUUACAAUGUUGCUAGACCAAGAUGGGAUGUGCUAUCAGUGUAAAAUACAACACUAGAUUUUAAAGACUUGGUACCAAAAAAAAUGUUAAAUAUCUCACGAUGUUUUGUAUUUUAUUACAUUUUGAAAAUUUUGGGAGUUUUGGGUUAAAUAUAUAAUUACAUUUUAUUUCAUUUGUUUCAUUUUUUUAUGUGGCUAUCAGAAAAUUUAAUAUUACACAUGUGGCUUGCUUUAGAUUUCUACAGGACGGUGUUGUCCUAGACUAUCUGCCUAAAAGGUAUGUUGCAUUUCCCCACAACAUCCCUCCACCUCCUUUCACUUUAAUCUAUAAUGAAACAUCCUCUAAACUGUUUCAUAGUUUUUCUUGUGUUAAUAUUUCUGAUUGAUCUUGAUUGAUAUUUCUGAUGCAUGAGCUAUUCUACCACCUCUGUGAACAUGACUAUUUUAAAUAAGGCAUAGUUUCCUACCACCAUAUUCAAUGUUGGGUCUUACCACACCAAAUCCCAGUGAACUGGAGAUUUACCAUUCUGUGGCUACUUUAUUACUUAUACCAUGAACAAUAUGGUUAAGAACACAAGGACUGGAGCCUGGCCAUCUGUUUUGGAGUCCUGACUCUAAUACUUAAUAGCUGUGUAACUUUGUUACUUUUUUUUUUUUUUGAGACGGAGUUUCACUCUUGUUGCCCAGGCUGAAGUGCAAUGGCAUGAUCUCAGCUCAUCGCAACCUCCACCUCCCGGGUUCAAGCGAUUCUCCUGCCUCAGCCUCCCGAGUAGCUGAGAUUACAGGCCUGCGCCACCAUGCUUGGCUAAUUUUGCAUUUUCAGUACAGACAGGCUUUCUCCAUGUUGGUCAGGCUGGUCUCGAACUCCUCACCUCAGGUGAUCUGCCCACCUCGGCCUCCCAGUGUUGGGAUUACAGGUGUAAGCCACUGCGCCCGGCUUACUUUGUUACUCUUAAUAUCUCUGUGCCUCAGUUCCUAAACUAAAAAAAGGAGAUGAUACAGUGUCCACUUCAUAGGGCUGAGGAUUAACUGAUAUUGGUAAAGAGCUUAGAAUGGUACUGAGCAUGCAGUAUGUAUGCAGUAAUGAAUACUAUUUCUAUCAUUAUACACAUCUCUCACCCUUCCCACCUACUGAUAUGUUGGCACCUUUCCUGGUGGUGGUGUUUUAUCCGAAUCUGAGAUUUUAAGCUCAGAUCUUCUAACUCCAAACUGCUAGUUCCUGGAUGAGUGGCAUUUGAGUAAGGUACUAAAUCUUUCUCAUUUUUCAGUUUUCUCCUCUGUGAGAAUGCCACCUUCCUUGCACAAGUCUGAAUGACACAACAUAUAUAAGGUUCCUUGCAUGUUCCUUAGCAUUUAACGAAUAUAUCAUAUCACCUUUCUGGUUUAUUACAUGUGAUUCUCACAACACACUAUAAGACAGAUAUUUUAUAAAGAAGGAAACAGGAUCCGGGAAGACUCGCCUGAGGUUGCACAGAUUAGCUACAUGACAGCGCCAAUAUUGGAACGAGGUCUCAGUCCGACUCAAAUGUUUUUUUCAUGAAAUUAAAGCUGCUUUUCUAAAAGCAUGAGCCCUAGAACUAAAUAAAUUCAUGCUGUUUAUGGUAUUCCAAUGCCUAAAGAAAUGCAAAAACCAGCAAAGUAAAUCUACUGCCGUGUUGCCCAUUGAAACUGCAACAGAAAGUCAAAAUACAAGUUUUGUUAACACCGCUAUAAGUCUUAGAGACGACGACGCGGGUGACAUGUCAGUAAACAAAACAAAGCGAACAGUUACUCCUUUAGCUCCCCGAGGAAACUGCGGACCGCGUCCCAUACACAGUCCGCAGGGGUACCAUAGUCGGGCCUUCCGGGCUGGGCUGGUCCCUGCCGAGGCUACGCAGCCCGGCCACCCCCAGACCUAGAGGAGGCCAACGCCACGCCUGCCCGCCGGAC
RNAcentral lists this long non-coding RNA (2033 nucleotides) under Homo sapiens (human). RNAcentral describes it as "HSALNT0291851". The record is from RNAcentral. Lineage: Eukaryota; Metazoa; Chordata; Mammalia; Primates; Hominidae.